CAAAGGCUUGGUCCUGACUUUUCUGUCAACUCUAACCUGACUUACACAUGCAAGUCUCCGCACCCCCGUGAGAAUGCCCUACAGUUCCCCGCCCGGGAACAAGGAGCUGGUAUCAGGCACAAUCCAAAAUUAGCCCAAGACACCUUGCUUAGCCACACCCUCAAGGGAACUCAGCAGUGACAGACAUUAAGCCAUAAGUGAAAACUUGACUUAGUUAAGGUUUCAAGAGGGCCGGUAAAACUCGUGCCAGCCACCGCGGUUAUACGAGAGGCCCAAGCUGACAGACAUCGGCGUAAAGAGUGGUUAGGAAAUAUAAAUUAAACUAGAGCCGAAUGCUUCCAAGGCUGUUAUACGCACCCGAAAGCAAGAAGUACAACAACGAAAGUGGCCCUAUUAAUUCUGAACCCACGAAAGCUAAGGCACAAACUGGGAUUAGAUACCCCACUAUGCCUAGCCCUAAACAUUGAUGGUCCCCCCACUUAAACCAUCCGCCAGGGAACUACGAGCAUUAGCUUAAAACCCAAAGGACUUGGCGGUGCUUUAGAUCCACCUAGAGGAGCCUGUUCUAGAACCGAUAACCCCCGUUCAACCUCACCUUUCCUUGUUCAACCCGCCUAUAUACCACCGUCGUCAGCUUAUCCUGUGAAGGCCUUUUAAUAAGCAAAACUGGCAAAGCCUAAAACGUCAGGUCGAGGUGUAGCGUACGGAAAGGGAAGUAAUGGGCUACAUUCCCUAUCCUAGGUAAUCACGGACGAUAUACUGAAAUAUAUAUCUAAAGGAGGAUUUAGUAGUAAGAGAAGAAUAGAGAGCUUCUCUGAAACCGGCCCUGAAGCGCGCACACACCGCCCGUCACUCUCCCCAAGCUCCCACCAACCCCAUAAUUAAUUCACCAACUUUGCUAAGGGGAGGCAAGUCGUAACAUGGUAAGUGUACUGGAAGGUGCACUUGGACAAAU
This 955-nucleotide non-coding RNA is filed under the name Rhinecanthus aculeatus (blackbar triggerfish). Its description in RNAcentral is "12S rRNA". It matches the Rfam family "Bacterial small subunit ribosomal RNA". The record is from RNAcentral. Lineage: Eukaryota; Metazoa; Chordata; Actinopteri; Tetraodontiformes; Balistidae.